AAUGAACGUUGGCGGCGUGGAUUAGGCAUGCAAGUCGAGCGCGAACCGUAGCAAUACGGGGAGAGCGGCGAAAGGGAGAGUAAUACGUGGAUACCUGCCCUCGGGUUCGGGAUAGCUACGGGAAACUGUAGGUAAUACCGAAUAACAUCUUCGGAUCAAAGGUGUGAUUCCGCCCGGGGAGGGGUCCGCGUCCUAUUAGCUAGUUGGUAAGGUAACGGCCCACCAAGGCGAAGAUGGGUAUGGGGUGUGAGAGCAUGACCCCACUCACUGGGACUGAGACACUGCCCAGACACCUACGGGUGGCUGCAGUCGAGAAUCUUCGGCAAUGGGGGAAACCCUGACCGAGCGACGCCGCGUGCGAGAUGAAGGCCUUCGGGUUGUAAAUCGCUGUCAGAGGGGAGGAAAUGCCGGGAAGUAAUUCAUAAUCAACUCGGCUUGACCUAGCCUCAGAGGAAGGACGGGCUAAGUUCGUGCCAGCAGCCGCCGUAA
This 489-nucleotide ribosomal RNA is filed under the name uncultured bacterium. Its description in RNAcentral is "partial 16S ribosomal RNA". It matches the Rfam family "Bacterial small subunit ribosomal RNA", at positions 29 to 523 of the family's 1533-position model. The record is from RNAcentral.